AACGAACGCUGGCGGCAUGCCUAACACAUGCCAGUCGAACGAGACCUUCGGGUCUAGUGGCGGACGGGUGCGUAACGCGUGGGAACCUGCCCUUAGGUUCGGAAUAACUCCCCGAAAGGGGUGCUAAUACCGGAUAAUGUCUUCGGACCAAAGAUUUAUCGCCUUUGGAUGGGCCCGCGUUGGAUUAGCUAGUUGGUAGGGUAAAAGCCUACCAAGGCGACGAUCCAUAGCUGGUCUGAGAGGAUGAUCAGCCACACUGGGACUGAGACACGGCCCAGACUCCUACGGGAGGCAGCAGUGGGGAAUAUUGGACAAUGGGCGAAAGCCUGAUCCAGCAAUGCCGCGUGAGUGAUGAAGGCCUUAGGGUUGUAAAGCUCUUUUACCCGGGAUGAUAAUGACAGUACCGGGAGAAUAAGCUCCGGCUAACUCCGUG
RNAcentral lists this ribosomal RNA (433 nucleotides) under uncultured bacterium. RNAcentral describes it as "partial 16S ribosomal RNA". It matches the Rfam family "Bacterial small subunit ribosomal RNA", at positions 29 to 507 of the family's 1533-position model. The record is from RNAcentral.